GCAGUAGCCGCGGGAAUACGUAGGGUGCAAGCGUUAAUCGGAAUUACUGGGCGUAAAGCGUGCGCAGGCGGUUAUAUAAGACAGAUGUGAAAUCCCCGGGCUCAACCUGGGAACUGCAUUUGUGACUGUAUAGCUAGAGUACGGCAGAGGGGGAUGGAAUUCCGCGUGUAGCAGUGAAAUGCGUAGAUAUGCGGAGGAACACCGAUGGCGAAGGCAAUCCCCUGGGCCUGUACUGACGCUCAUGCACGAAAGCGUGGGGAGCAAACAGGAUUAGAUACCCCCGUAGUCCCUGUCUCUUAUAC
This 302-nucleotide ribosomal RNA is filed under the name uncultured bacterium. Its description in RNAcentral is "partial 16S ribosomal RNA". It matches the Rfam family "Bacterial small subunit ribosomal RNA", at positions 508 to 807 of the family's 1533-position model. The record is from RNAcentral.